RNAcentral lists this ribosomal RNA (709 nucleotides) under uncultured bacterium. RNAcentral describes it as "bacterial SSU rRNA". It matches the Rfam family "Bacterial small subunit ribosomal RNA", at positions 8 to 710 of the family's 1533-position model. The record is from RNAcentral.
AGGGUUUGAUCCUGGCUCAGGAUGAACGCUAGCGGCAGGCCUAACACAUGCAAGUCGAACGGUAACAGAUCUAGCUUGCUAGAUGCUGACGAGUGGCGCACGGGUGCGUAACGCGUAUGCAAUCUACCUAUAACUGAGGAAUAGCCCAGAGAAAUUUGGAUUAAAACCUCAUAAUAUUAUUAUUUGGCAUCAUUUAAUAAUUAAAACUCCGGUGGUUAUAGAUGAGCAUGCGUUCUAUUAGCUUGUUGGUGAGGUAAGAGCUCACCAAGGCAACGAUAGAUAGGGGGCCUGAAAGGGUGAUCCCCCACACUGGUACUGAGACACGGACCAGACUCCUACGGGAGGCAGCAGUGAGGAAUAUUGCACAAUGGAGGAAACUCUGAUGCAGCCAUGCCGCGUGCAGGAUGACGGCCCUACGGGUUGUAAACUGCUUUUUUACAAGAAGAAACCUUGGUACGUGUACCAACUUGACGGUAUUGUAAGAAUAAGCACCGGCUAACUCCGUGCCAGCAGCCGCGGUAAUACGGAGGGUGCAAGCGUUAUCCGGAUUUAUUAGGUUUAAAGGGUUCGCAGGCGGAAUUUUAAGUCAGUGGUGAAAGCCUAUAGCUCAACUAUAGAACUGCCAUUGAUACUGAUAUUCUUGAGUAUAGAUGAAGUGGGCGGAAUAUGUCAUGUAGCGGUGAAAUGCAUAGAUAUGACAUGGAACACC